GCUGAUUUUGUAAAGAGAAAAAAAGACCAUAGGAGGAGCACGGGCUCGCCUCCUCUCCCUCUCGCCCAAGUCCUCGUCGCUGCCGCCGCCACCACCACCCACGCUGUGGCAAUCUCCGGCGAGCUCCGUCGCCGCACAACACACCCCAGAGCUCCCCACGGUCCGCGUCUCCCUCCCCUCCGGCCAGAUUCUGCGCUCCCGACCUCUACCGCCCGGUCGCAACGCCACCCUUGUGGCUGGGUUUGGGGCAGGGCUUCGCCGCCGCGUCUCCGGCGGCCCCGGGUUCGUCCCUCUUCCUACCUGGUCGGGAUCCACCACCCCUACACCUCACCUUCGACGCCAUGGGAGUUCCCCAUCCACCAUGGUUGUCGCCGUCAAGGGCUUCUUCACGAAGAUGUGAAGGACGCCAUGGAUCUGCAGCUCCUUUUCUCCUCCACCACGGACGCCGCCUCACCCUUCCAAGCCAACAGGCACCCUACAAACGGGUCGGCCCACAGCUCCUCCGCUCCUCUGCCAUCUUGAGAUGCACCUGGAUCUGGCGAUUUCAGGGCCUUCAUGGCUUUAGAAUCGGCCUCUCGUUCGGGAUCAGUUUGGAUCUAGGACAAGCCAACCAUGCUGCUGCGCCAAGCUCCUCUUGAUAUAGUUUACAUGAAUGCUAUCCGGGAGAAGGCAAAUAUCAGGAGCAAAUAAAAUCAAUCCCUGUACAAAUAAAAACACUCCCUGCAAUCUAUCAUUUUUUUUGAGGAAUUAGCCACAUUAGAGUAGUUGAUACAUUGGAUGAGUAUUCAGAAGGUGCAGUCAAUUUGUCCUUUGGCAUCUAGCCCUCCUGUUGCUUUUGCUAGGCGAGGAAAGGUGGACCAAGUAGUCUAGCAGAACCAAUUGCAUUUUUGGGGUAUUGGCUUCAGAUUGGAGUGGGAAGGUAUAGAUAUGUGUUCUUUCCACAAGAAGAACAAUGAAUACUACUACAAUCUUUUCUAGCAUGGUUUGUUCUCAGCCACAUGAGUUUUAUAAUCCUUCUAAAACAGUCACUUCCUUUCAUAUGAAUGCACUUUUAGCAGAUGUUAUUCUGACUGGUCUGCUAUAUUUGUUCAUGAAGACGUUCAUGUUUACUCCCUGUUCAAUUCAAGUCUGAAAGAUUCAUAUUUGGGUAGACAGGUUUCACUGAUUGAAAAUAUUUGAGAUGCUCUUUUUGAUGUAUGGCAAUAUGCUAUCUCAAAUAUGGUAGACGAGGAAUACGGGCUCUUUUGAAGAUAAAUAAACUAGAUAAAAAAGAAUUGAAAUAGCCAAGCAAGUUUCAUUGCAUGUUAAUUAUAUGGUCUGCUGUACUGAACCUUUUUCUGCAAUUUUCUUAUUUGUUCUGCUUGAAAAAGCUAACACUGAUCUUUUGCUACGUUUUGUGUUAAUGAGUAAAUGUUUUGUACAGAAAAUCAGUGCUAGAGAUUAGAAUUGCCUCAUAUAUAAUACUCCAUCUGUCUCAUUAUAUAAGACAUUUUUUCACGAGGUAGUACCAAAUAUGCCUUUAUGUGCUUUCUUCAACAAGUCAUAUGUGUGACUGACCUCCACCCACCUCCCCAUUCUCAACAAGCACCAGGACGUGACUUCGGUUCUGCCAAGUAGGUUUUAAUAAACAAAUCCUUCCUAAAUUAUGAGCUGUUUUCUUACUGAGCAAACAGAAUGCCCAACAUUCCAAUUUGUGAUGUUAAGGCUAACAAGAGAUGCAUAUAUCAUAUUUAACAUACUAUCUGCACUCUUCCUAAUUUAGUUUUUUUUGCUUGUCCAGAAAGAAUAAAUUGGUGUUUGAUUUGACUACAACCCUACGGUGUUUGCUCUGAAAGGCAUGCACUUUAAAAAAAGACAUGAUGUGCAUUUGCAUAGUUUGACAAAUUCCGAUCAAUGAACUGUAUUUUGUUUUCUGUUUUCAUUGUAACAUCAACCUUACGUGGUUCUUCUUAUCAAUGUUUGAACUGAAGUUAUACAAUAGAGGGCAUGUACUUGAUUGUUUUAGUGUCAAUAUAUUCAGAAGACAUGGAUCCAUCACGGAAGGAGUAGAUGAAGACCAUGGAAAGGAGGAGUUACUAGGAGCAGAAUACUGGUGAGUUAACUUCGGUUUUCAGAAUUGAAGCUUCACUCAGGUGAAGUGGUUCCUUUGGACAUUGAUAUCUGCUGCAUAAUAUAUGUAGAUAAAGGAAAAUUGAAUUAAGAACUCAAUCGGAGCAGAGACCAUGAGUUGUGGACCAUAUAAUGUUGUCUGCUUCACUUUCAGUUUCUAUUGGGAAAAUUUGCAGAACCGGAUAAUGUCUCAACACUGACUAGAAGAAAGGAAGCCACAUAUAGCUGGUUCGGCCAGCCAACUAAUCCAUGAAAUUUACCUUCUUUGUCUUUCCUUUUUAAUGCUCAUCACAUUUUUAUAUAUGUGCACCAUGGUUAAAGUUUGCAAAUAUUAUUGCGCAAAAGCAGUCUAUUCCUUGCACCUGUUUUGCAAGCUGGAUUAUUCAAAGAAUAUAUACAAAGACGGGAAAAGGCAGUCGUGUCACAUUAAUGUGGGGAGGGCAAUAUUGGGUAGAGAUUCUUGCAUUUGCACGUUAAGUUUGUGGCAAUUGUGAAUUGCUUUAUUUUCCUGCCAUUCGUAUUUCUUGUGUGAAUAACAUCAAGAUGGUUUUGAGCCUGGAAACUUCAAGCGUGUCAUAAGGCAGGAAACAUAUCUGUAGAGAAGUAUAGGUGAUGUGCUAGAAAACAUGGCCGUGCCACUGAUUUUUCAGCUGGUCGUGUGCUUCAUCUGUAUGAUGCUUUUGUUGAUUACCAGCUUAUGUAGGUUGCUUAGAAGCGAGGCCUUCCCAUAGUUGACGAAGAUAUGUGUAACCAGUGAAGAAUAUUAGGAUGGGAAUUUUACCUAUUCUGUGGACUAGCUACAGUUCUUGGUGCCUUAUAAAUGAUAAAGAGAGGUCUCUCUGACUAAAUAAUAAUUUCCAUUAGUUACUACUUUUCAGUUUUAGAUUCCACUGUAAUGUUGCUGAUGAUGUCAACACUGGUUUGACUUCUCAUAUAUACGAUCUCUAAUUAUUUCAGAAGAUAA
Long non-coding RNA from Triticum aestivum (bread wheat), 3073 nucleotides. RefSeq lists it as uncharacterized. Lineage: Eukaryota; Viridiplantae; Streptophyta; Magnoliopsida; Poales; Poaceae. The record is from RefSeq and is a predicted model, not a curated record. The transcript has 3 exons.